CGGGAGGAGGGGGCAGCGUUGUCCGGAUUAUUGGGCGUAAAGCGCGCGCAGGCGGUCAUUUAAGUCUGGUGUUUAAUCCCGGGGCUCAACCCCGGAUCGCACUGGAAACUGGGUGACUUGAGUGCAGAAGAGGAGAGUGGAAUUCCACGUGUAGCGGUGAAAUGCGUAGAUAUGUGGAGGAACACCAGUGGCGAAGGCGACUCUCUGGGCUGUAACUGACGCUGAGGCGCGAAAGCGUGGGGAGCAAACAGGAUUAGAUACCCUGGUAGUCCACGCCGUAAACGAUGAGUGCUAGGUGUUAGGGGUUUCGAUACCCUUGGUGCCGAAGUUAACACAUUAAGCACUCCGCCUGGGGAGUACGGUCGCAAGACUGAAACUCAAGGGAAUUGACGG
Molecule: ribosomal RNA, 393 nt
Filed under: Paenibacillus sp. BC1(2011)
Lineage: Bacteria; Bacillati; Bacillota; Bacilli; Caryophanales; Paenibacillaceae
Description: bacterial SSU rRNA
Rfam family: Bacterial small subunit ribosomal RNA
Source: RNAcentral